UCCCCCUUUUCUGGUUUACAAGACCAGGGUAAUGUGCGAGUC
RNAcentral lists this transfer RNA (42 nucleotides) under Equus caballus (horse). RNAcentral describes it as "partial transfer RNA-Thr". Lineage: Eukaryota; Metazoa; Chordata; Mammalia; Perissodactyla; Equidae. The record is from RNAcentral.